This 253-nucleotide ribosomal RNA is filed under the name uncultured bacterium. Its description in RNAcentral is "partial 16S ribosomal RNA". It matches the Rfam family "Bacterial small subunit ribosomal RNA", at positions 524 to 776 of the family's 1533-position model. The record is from RNAcentral.
UACGAAGGGAGCUAGCGUUGUUCGGAAUCACUGGGCGUAAGGCGCACGUAGGCGGAUUUGUCAGUCAGGGGUGAAAUCCCGGGGCUCAACCUCGGAACUGCCUUUGAUACAGCAAGUCUUGGGUUCGAGAGAGGUGGGUGGAAUUCCUAGUGUAGAGGUGAAAUUCGUAGAUAUUAGGAAGAAUACCGGUGGCGAAGGCGGCCCACUGGCUCGAUACUGACGCUGAGGAGCGAAAGCAUGGGGAGCGAACAGG